Poecile atricapillus (Black-capped chickadee) is the source of this 504-nucleotide long non-coding RNA. RefSeq lists it as uncharacterized. The record is from RefSeq and is a predicted model, not a curated record. The transcript has 3 exons. Lineage: Eukaryota; Metazoa; Chordata; Aves; Passeriformes; Paridae.
GCAUGCGUGGGGGCAAGACUGGAUGCGUAAAGUGAGCACUCUUUUCUACUCCUUGCAGGCUUCCUUGCUGUAUCCCACUGCAAAGGAUAAGAAGAAGGAAUCACUGGGACUGUCUUUGAUCCCCCAGAUACGCAGGGCAGUAAGUCCAGAUGUUGGCAGUGCUGCAGGAUCUCUGAAAAGCUCUCUGCAGCUGGAUGUCCAAGAGUCCCAGGAGAUGAGGCCAAGAUCACCAGCAGAUCCAAAGAGGAGAACUCUUAACAAGCAGCUUCUUCUAGAGACACAAUGUCAAGGAAGAAGUGGGUGGACACCUCCCAUAAAGAGCAGCCCUUUGCAGCCUCUCCAUCCAGGUGGCCUCCCUCCCCUGCCUGGCUGGAAGGCUGAUGCUCAGACCUCCCACCCUCUGGGCCUCACCUUAGCCCCACCUGGCAUGCCCAGCUGCUUCUGCUAGUAUUUAAGGAGCUCUUAAUAAUACUGUGCUACUUAAACGCACAUUGGGAUGUAGCU